UACAGAGGGGGCAAGCGUUGUUCGGAAUUACUGGGCGUAAAGGGCGCGUAGGCGGCCUGCUAAGUCGAACGUGAAAUCCCUGGGCUCAACCCAGGAACUGCGUCCGAUACUGGUUGGCUUGAAUCCGGGAGAGGGAUGUGGAAUUCCAGGUGUAGCGGUGAAAUGCGUAGAUAUCUGGAGGAACACCGGUGGCGAAGGCGACAUCCUGGACCGGUAUUGACGCUGAGGCG
This 230-nucleotide ribosomal RNA is filed under the name uncultured bacterium. Its description in RNAcentral is "partial 16S ribosomal RNA". It matches the Rfam family "Bacterial small subunit ribosomal RNA", at positions 524 to 753 of the family's 1533-position model. The record is from RNAcentral.